RNAcentral lists this ribosomal RNA (318 nucleotides) under Triticum aestivum (bread wheat). RNAcentral's name for it is "partial small subunit ribosomal RNA". The record is from RNAcentral. Lineage: Eukaryota; Viridiplantae; Streptophyta; Magnoliopsida; Poales; Poaceae.
AUGCAAGGAAUGGCAAUAUCAAUGCAGCAUUGUUAUCUUCCCAUCAUCAUCCAGUCCGACUCCUCUCAGGCCUUGUCAGCUUUGACAGGGGACAGCCUUUCCCGCUCGGCUUAUGGUCACUUAGUUGCAAAGAUUCGUUAUCUUAUGAGUGAAAGAGAGUUUAUUCCUUUGAAAAUUAAAAGAGAGCAAAAUAGGGUAGCAGAUCGUUUGGCUACGUAUAGCCGUACAGAGAGUACAACUGCUGUAUGGCUUGGGCGGGGACCUCUGUGUGUGGAGGAGCUUUUGCCACUUGAUUGUAACCCUAUGUUUAUGGAAUAA